This 7145-nucleotide long non-coding RNA is filed under the name Citrus sinensis (sweet orange). Its description in RNAcentral is "long non-coding RNA (CSIN_LNC001119)". Lineage: Eukaryota; Viridiplantae; Streptophyta; Magnoliopsida; Sapindales; Rutaceae. The record is from RNAcentral.
CCAAAUCCUCAUCUUUAGGGGCUAAGAUAUCGAAUGAGAUAAUAAAUAAGUAAAAGGUAAAUAUGAGGGAUACUGAAACAAAAGUAAACCUAAAACUAUAAGGAUAAAGAACAUUUUUUCCCACUACUAAGAGUAGCAUAAGAUGUAAUUGCAAUUGAUGAUGCAUGCAUUAUUUGUCUUUCAGAUUGCGCAAGUGAUGACCAUGCUUCAUCCCUUUCCUUUUUAAGUCUAGCAAUUACAUGACAAGCAGCAUCAUGUUGAGGACAAAUCAAUAUGCUAAGGUCAGUGAGUUGCUCAAGUGAUGAUUUAAUUACAAUUUGUAGGCUAUAGUCAAACAGAAGAAGACAUAAAGUGUACAUGUGUAAUUCUAUAGAGAAAAAAAAACUAAAAUUUGCUAAGGCUCAAUGCGUAUUUUCAGGAUAAAUACAUUUUAUAGAGAUAACAGCAAGCCUAUAAACUAAUUAUCUAUAAAAUCAAAUUAUUUAGCAACAAGCUCAUCUUUCCAUUAACUUCAUCUAGCACAAUGCAGUAUGUACAUCAAUACAAUCAAACAGAUGAUAUGUAUCAUAUACACUAAAUGCCGAAUAUAAAGAGAUAAUUUGUGAAUUAAACUUUAGCAGGCAUAACAUCAAGUGCUAUUACCUGGUACAAUGCAUUGGCUUAGCUCUUGCCUUGCUAUAUGAUGUUGUUACUCCAAAGCAAAAUUAGAUAGCAUCAGACCAUCCCAUUCCUACAAUUAGACAAACAAUGUAACUGUCAGGAAAUAUAAUAAAGAAUCACAUAUUAAAAUGUAAAAUUCAAUAUCAAUUAAAAUUGUGAAUUUGAAGAAGUGUCACUAAGAAAUCAGCAAUAUUACAGUUAGAAAAAAUGAUAAAAGACAUUAAAUUAUGUUUACAUGAUUAUCAUUAUUUAUAAAAGAAGUAUUUACUUUUCAAAUGAAAAAAAUUAAAAGAGCACAGAACAAGGGAUCUCAAAACAAAAAUCUUAUAAUAGCUCUAUCUUGCAAAAUAUACUGGAUAAAUCUAGCAUAAGAAUAGUUGGCAAGAAAACUCUAAAACAAAAUAUCCAUGUUCUACAUUCUAAAUUAUUAUAGAAUAAAGAGACCUAAUGAACACAAAAACAAUAUGAUAUUAUAAAUGAAAAACAUGGGCUAAAAUCUGGAAAACAUGUUUCAUGCAAAGAAAAAGAUCACCAUAAAAAUCAGAGGUUAUUACAUGCUGAUUGAAUUGGAAUAUAAUCUAAGCUUUUACUUGGCAAGAAUUUGGUAAUGUGCUAAAGCACAAGUUCAUGAAAAAACAUAUGAAGUCAAAAGUCAAAUUCUUUUUAAGUACUAACAAAUUAAAAACUCCUUCCAAACAAACUUAAACAUUUAACACAGCAGACACAAGGCAAUAAAUCAUAAUCACAUACAUUUUGGAACAUUACAAGCAUCCCACGAAUGCUAGCAGCCAUCAAUGGUCUGGGCUUCUUAAACUUCAUGGCAAGCCAUUAAGCAAAAGACAAAAAUUAUCAUGCAAGAUUACAUUAAAUAAUGAUGACGAAAACUUCUAACAAACCAAGAAAAGCAACCAUCAUAAAUUUCUAUAACCAUUUUCUCCUAAAUUAUGUAGAGAAAAAUAGUAAUUUAACUAUAAAAAUUUGUAACACACAUUUAAUCAAAUACCUUCUCCCGUAUUAUGUAGAUAAAAAUAAAAUGUUAACUAUAUGAAUCUCUAAUAGACAUUUAAUCAAGCACCUUACAUGUGCAAAAAUCGUUCAAAAUUGUAAACCAAUUAUACAUGUUAAAUCUUCAAUUGACAUUCAAAUUUUCCCAAAUCAUGAUUUCUUAGACAAGAACGAGUAAAAUUUACAAGAUAAUUGAACAUGACAAUUUCAAGAAAAAGCCAAACCCUAACCAUCACAACAACCACGAGCCACCAUUACCUUACCCCUCCACAACAAAUCCAAUACCAUGCAAAUCAAACCCAAUCAAUUUUUGCACCAAAAUCCCAUCAAUUUUACUAUUUAGAAAACUAAACCCACAAGUUUUAAUACAUACCUGAUGUCAAUUUUAAUUUUACAAAAAUCAGCAACCUUACUUGGAUAUGGAUUGAUUCAUUGAGGAAAAAAAUUAAAAAAACCAAUUGUUUCUCACAGUGGAGGUAGAUCUGCUUGUGGAGAUGACGAAAAGAUGAAAAAACUGAAAAACAAUGUGAAACGAGAGAGCAAACAAGUGUUACAGCUUGAAUGGAGGAAGAAUGGUGGCAUUUUGAAUGACAAAAUAGUGGAGUUUUUAUGAUCUAUUAAGAUUGAAAUUUUAAUUCUAGGGUUUCAAAUGAUGAAAGAGAGAGGCAAAAUGGAGAACGUCCAACACUUAGACAAAAUUUGUGUGUUUUAAGCAAUCCUAUGGUAAAUUGUAGCCUUUUAUUCUUUUUGUUUUUAUUUUUUAAUUUUUAAAAAGGUGUUGUUUGAUUUUUUAAAUAAAAUAAUACAUUAAAAUUUGGUCAAACACAAUCAAAAUCAUAAUUCUAUCACAAUUUCUUGAUGUAGCAAAUUUCUAUCACGAUUCUAUCAUCAAUUCUUGAUAAAUAAUAAUUAUUUCACAAAAUCAUCGCUAAUGCAUGAUAGAACUAUAUUCUGUCACAAGUCCGUCAUGCUUUUAUGAUAUAUACGAUUUUACCCUGAAUCUGUCACAAGUUGUCUGUCAUCUAUUGUCAGUUUUCUUGUAGUGAACAAUUCUCAAAUUUUUUGGAGAAUCCAUAAUUAUCAUUCUGUCACUUCUAUAAUUAAUUUUCCAGCAACUUAAACAUCACCAAACCACAUGCUUAAAGCAAUAUUAGACAUGUAAAACAAACAACAACCUUGCUUUUGAGUUUUGAAACAAAAAACAUCACCAAAUCAUAUAACUUGAGAUAAUUAGAUCACUCUUAAGACUUUGACCAUGUUUGCAUUGGCAAAGAAUAUUAGUAGAACAAUUUUUUUCUUUUAAUAAUAUAAUGUUAUAAAUCUCAAAUAGUCUAUGUGUUCUUUGUUGGACCAAACAUGUGAUCAUGAUAUUUUUUGAACUUAAGUCUUAUUCAUAUCAGAACAACAUUUAGAUAAGCAUGUGCCAAGAAAAAUUCAGUUUAUGUAUUCUUCCAUAUGUUUUUCAUUUUUUUUUGGAUGUUUUUCAUCUUCAUUUGUUUAUGUUGCAGCAAAGGUAUUUAAGUCAUUGUUAAUUUGUACCUUGCAUAAAUGUAUUGGUAAUAUAUUCUGAUUUUUUAUUUAUAUUCUACCACCUUAAUGUGUCAGGAUCAGAUAUAAUUGAAACUAAAAAUGGAUAAGUCAUGGAUGCAUUGUAGUAAAAUGGCAAAAGAGUAUGAAGAUAGGGUUGAAACAUUUAUGAGGUUUGCUAUUACUAAUGCCGAAGGCAGUAGCGUCAUUAGAUGUCCAUGUACUAAAUGUAUGAAUAUAUCCUUUCAUACACAGAAGUGAAAUGAAAAUUAUGCAACCCAAAAGGGGGUGAAUUGGGAUUUUAAAUCUUGUGCUAAACAAUUCGCACAACAAUUUAAUCUAUUGCCUUAAUUAAAUAAAAAAUAAUAAAUUCAAUAAUGCACAAUAAUAAAAGAAUAAGGGAAGAGAAAGAAAACACAACAAUUUUUAUGUGGUUCGGCAAUCCCCGCCUACGUCCAUGCCUCCAAGCCAACCAAGCUUGAGGAUUUCACUAUCCAAGCCUCCCAAGGCUUCAAGUUCUUACAAUUGACUUCCAAGAUGUCAAUGAACUUUUACAAUCAAGAAAUUAUCUCCUCAAUCUCUUCACCCCAAGUGUUUCUCACACUUGUACACUCACAAUUUGAUGAGAAAUGAAAAUUACAACAAAAACUCUAUUUAAGAGUAGAUAUGCAAAUGAUAGCAUAAUAAUGAUUCAAUAAAUGAUGAUUUGUGAAAUAGAAGCUCAAUAUGUGUUAUAUGAUCUUAUUUAUGCUUGCAUAGACUUUUAAUUUAGCUAAGUUCUUCCUCAUUUUUGCAAGCCUAUUGCAUCAGCAUUCCUUCCAUGAAUUAUAAGCUUAUGGAAACCUACAAUUAUGCACACAAUUUAAGCACGAAUUACUUUAAAUUAAGCAAAACUCAUUAAAACUAAACUAAAAUAAAUAUUUAUGCAAAAUGUAACAAAAAUGCAAUAGAAUCACAUCAUUUACUCUCUAAGUAAUAUUAAUUUAAGUCUAAAAGUGCUAUGAUAACUCUCAUUUCAUAGAGUUAUCACACCCCCAAACUUAAACUAUUACUUGUCCUCAAGUAAUGACAACAACGCUAACACUUCAUUCACACAGUCAUGCAAGAAAUAACUUAGCUCUGUCAUCAAAUUUGCAAGAAUUCUUCCACCCUCGGAUGACAUUCUUAAUCACGCAAAAUAGCCUUAGCAGUUCAGUUUUAGACUUAGGCCUCAUUCUGUCCAAAGUGUGUGUGUGCCACUUUGAUCAAAUUCUAGAGGUGCUACAACAUUACAGAGACAUUGCAUAUAAUUCAAAGGUAGAACACAAAUAUAUUCACAUAAGGGGGAGCAGAAAUCACAAAUAUACUCAAACUGCGCUACAACAAUAAUAAUUUUUUUUUCAGUUAAACCCUUCAAUGCAACAUUGAGCUUUCAUGUGAAUGCCUAUCACUUGUAAUGACGACACCCAAUUACUCAUUCAAAGUACAUGUCAGAGUUGCUAUAGCAACACAUUCAGGAUGUUAUAUCUAGGUCUUACCUUUGGACGCCUUUGACUCAAGGCUGAACAUGGGGCUCAUAAACAGACCAGGUUACUCAGUAUCCUAGGCAGCGGACCUCUUUAUUUUUUAUUCCUUCAUCACAAUUUUUUUUGCUUUUUUUUUUUAUAUAUAAUUGCUGCAGCACUGCUCAUAGCUCUUGUUGCCUUUGGACUCAAGUUUGCAUAUGGGGUGCAUACUCAACCUUGGUUACUCAACAACUUAAACAAUUGGAGCAGAAUUUAUUUCAUAACAGGCACAGUCCAACAAAAAUUUUCCCCCAAACUUGAGAUAUUUUCUACUCUUUUUUUGGUUUUCCUGGCUCUGCUACAACAUUCUCAUAAAACUCAACCAAAGUCUAAGUGUCGGGACAAAAUUUCAACCUCCAUCUAUAAUUAUCUCUAUUUGGCAUUCUCAUAAAUACUGAAUAACACUCAAUUUAUCUUCAUUAGGUUUUCAAAUCCAUACACAAAUAUUAGAUAACAGAGCUUCACACAACACACAACACAAACAUAAACACAUGCACUCAGAAACACAACCCCCCCUCCCCCAAACUUGAGUGGUGUUGUGUCCUCACAAGCACACAAAACAAAACCACAUAAACCAGACAUGCAUACACUAAAUAAAAUGACAUGUAGAAUGAAUUAGAAAAUUAAAACUAAAUGAAAGAAAAGUUUUGCAGAAAGAAGUAAAUAAACUAGCAGCUAGGGGGGUGCUCCCCUGUUGCUGGAAGCACUGCUGCAGCAUAGGCUGUAAAGGGUCACUUCUUCUUUGAUCCACUUAUCAAACACUCCUUAUCAUAAAAUCUGAUUAAUCCAUUUGAUGCUGCAAAAGCAAGAAAUACCUCUGUUGUUUGAGAAUCUUCUGUUGUAUGUCAAGUCAAGUAUAGUUUAGUCACAUUUUGAAACAAUAAAACUUUCCAUAAUAGUCCAACCACUAUAAGAAAAUAGACAAUAGAUGACGGAAAAUAACUGUCAUAAAAGGGGGUUUAUGACAGACAUUUCAUCUGUCAUCUAUGUCAUUGUCAUUAAUAUAUGACAAAUUAUUUUCCGUCAUGAAUUCUUGAUGGCAUUUUACAAUCAUAUAUUUGUCACACAAUAUUUUAAUAUGAAAAAAUAAUUAAAUUAAAAUUUAAACUAAUUUAAAUUUUUACGCCAUAUUUUUAAUUUUUUGGUGGGAAAUUAAAUUGUCAAUUUGUAUAUUUAUUAUUAAUUUUCGCAGGAAAUUUUUUAUGACAGACUUUAUGAUGCGUAUUUCCCGUCAUACAUUAGUAUAAUUUAUUUUUGAAUUCUUGUUUACAAAUUUAAUUAAUUAAUAAAAAUGAAUAUCAUCAAAAAAAAGUAAAAACAAUUAAUAUAACAUCCAUUCAAUCCAACAAAUUAAUUUCAAAAUAAAUACAUCUAAUUUCAAAUUUCAUCACCAUCAUUACAAAAUAAAACAUCCCAAAUAAGAAAAAAAAACCAUACCAAAAUAUAAACUCAUAGUUAAAUUCCAAUUAAACACCAAGAAAAACAAUUCAAACUCCAUCCACCAAGCCAAGUUGCCAAACAAAACUUCCAAAGAUUAAUGAAAAUAUUCCAAUAGCAAGACUCCAGCAAAACUUCUAGCACCAAUACCAUCUUCCAAUAGCACUCUAAUACCAGCAUCAAAUAAGGUAAAAGUCACAGAUGAUACUUGUAUGAGCAAAACCAUCCAUAUUAACAAAGAGUACAUAUCGCCUUUUCUACUGCUGUAAAAGAGUCCCAUUAUGGGCUGCCAGCUUAGCAAUAAUCAAAACGUAAUUCCAGCAUAAAUUUUCUAUCCAGCAGGGCCCAAAUCCUCAUCUUUAGGGGCUAAGAUAUCGAAUGAGAUAAUAAAUAAGUAAAAGGUAAAUAUGAGGGAUACUGAAACAAAAGUAAACCUAAAACUAUAAGGAUAAAGAACAUUUUUUCCCACUACUAAGAGUAGCAUAAGAUGUAAUUGCAAUUGAUGAUGCAUGCAUUAUUUGUCUUUCAGAUUGCGCAAGUGAUGACCAUGCUUCAUCCCUUUCCUUUUUAAGUCUAGCAAUUACAUGACAAGCAGCAUCAUGUUGAGGACAAAUCAAUAUGCUAAGGUCAGUGAGUUGCUCAAGUGAUGAUUUAAUUACAAUUUGUAGGCUAUAGUCAAACAGAAGAAGACAUAAAGUGUACAUGUGUAAUUCUAUAGAGAAAAAAAAACUAAAAUUUGCUAAGGCUCAAUGCGUAUUUUCAGGAUAAAUACAUUUUAUAGAGAUAACAGCAAGCCUAUAAACUAAUUAUCUAUAAAAUCAAAUUAUUUAGCAACAAGCUCAUCUUUCCAUUAACUUCAUCUAGCACAAUGCAGUAUGUACAUCAAUACAAUCAAACAGAUGAUAUGUAUCAUAUACACUAAAUGCCGAAUAUAAAGAGAUAAUUUGUGAAUUAAACUUUAGCAGGCAUAAC